GCGGAGUUCAGCCAGUGAAACACUUCAUGUGUUAAACUUGUUAAAGGGGAAGUGAUGAAGCUGAAGGCGUCUCGCUGCUGCUCAGACUGAUGUUCAGUCGUCAUCCAGACACGAUGAAGACUCCGUGUGUCUCUCUGCUCCUCGGUGUGUGUGUGCUGCUGCUGUCUGCACCGACUGUUUCUGCAGUGUCUCUGUCUGUCAGUCCAAACCUUCAGCAGUUCUUCAGAGGAUCUUCUCCAGUGUAUCUGAGUUGUGUUGAUGAUGGACAGACAGCUGAUGGAUGGACAGUGAAGAGGACCAGAGGAAACCUCACUGAGGACUGUGGAGCAGCUGGUUCAGAGUUUAGUAGGUUUAACAGUUCCUUCUGUGGUCUCGGUCUCUCCACUGGUGGAAAUUUCCUGUGUGUAAGCUCAUCUGGACAGCAGAGUGAUGAAGUCUCCAUCAGUGUCUCAGAAGGAGGUGUGAUCCUGGAGAUUCCUGCACUUCCUGUCAUGACAGGAAGUGAUGCCACUUUGUACUGUACACCCAAAGAGGGAGAAAGACGAAAAUCUUACUUCAUCAGAGAUGAUGUUACACUUGGAUCUGGACCUGAAGGAAAGUGGAUUCUCUCUAAAGUCCAGCGGUCUGAUGAAGGUCUCUACUCGUGUUUUACUGAUAUUCAUCCACGUUCUCCUCAGAGCAGACUGAGGGUCAGAGUUCCUCCCAAAAUCAUCCAUCCUCCUCCUCACUGUCCUCCUCCUCCAUGCAACUCCACAAACGUUGCUCCUCCUGUAGAAACUCCUUUUACUCAUCCUCCCUGUUCUUCUCCUCCUCCUGCUCCUCCUCCCUCUCUCCUGGUCCCAGUUGUAGCAGGUCUGGUCUCUGGGCUUCUCCUGGUUCUGGUUCUGGGUGGAGUUCUGUUCCUCUGCAGUAAACUAAAAGGAGGUCGGGGAGCAGACCUGUGGAGCUGUGGAGGUGACGGCUGUCUGAGACGGAGCGUCUGCCUCUGCUUUUCAGGCCUGUUUCUGCUGACUGCUGCAGGUGUGUGUGUGCUGCUGCUGUCUGCUCUGACCGUUUCCACAGCUUCUCCUCCCUGUGAGUCUGUGCUGAGGCUCUUCUGCCAUCUAGUGGUCUUCUCUCCGUACUGCAUCUCCACUGGUCUGCUGCUGUCCAUCUGUUGGAGCAGGAGGACACCGAACAAACCGGCCGUCUCCAUGGAGAUGAUCCAGCGUGAUGGAGGUGGUCAGGGACUGGCUGAAGAUGGUGAUGAUGUCACUGCUGAUGUCACCACUGAGCAUGCCUUCUGAGCUGCAGACUGUGUGUCAGGGUACCAGCAUCUGCAGUAUUUCUGUAUCUUGGUUCCCCUUUUGCUGUAUUGGAGAAAAGUUCCAGUGUUUACUGUCAGUGUGGAUUAGUUAGGUUUGAGUUUAUCGCUUCAUCCCUGUUUCCUGUGUAAGUCUGUCCUCUGUUAAGUUAUGUCUCCUGUGUCUCAUCUCCCUUUGUUUCAUGUUUUCAUUCCAUGUCUCCUCUGUCUGUAUUGUGCCUCCUGUACAUUCUCUCCAGUCCAUCAUGUGCGUCUCCUCUCGUUGUCUUCCAAGUUCGUCUAGUUCUUCCCUCCCGUCUCCUGUGUCAUGUUGUGUGAAUUAAUGUUUCCUGUUUUACUUUGACAGUGUCACGCCCUGUGUUCAGUUUUUGUAGUUUUGCUUCCUGUGUGUCGUCAGGUCCACUCUCCCUAAUUACCCUUGUGUGCUUAUAUUGUCUGUUUUCCUCUGUGUCUCAUCUCAUGGUCCAGUUUUCCUUGUUUUUUUGCUUUAUUUUCCCCAGUUUAGUCAGUGAGUCUCAGUUUCACAUUUUAUGUAUGUCAACAUUCCAGCCUCAAUAAAUGACUGUCUUUCUGUUCAACCUCA
This is a long non-coding RNA of Oreochromis aureus, 1886 nucleotides long. Lineage: Eukaryota; Metazoa; Chordata; Actinopteri; Cichliformes; Cichlidae. The record is from Ensembl.